This 253-nucleotide ribosomal RNA is filed under the name uncultured bacterium. Its description in RNAcentral is "partial 16S ribosomal RNA". It matches the Rfam family "Bacterial small subunit ribosomal RNA", at positions 524 to 776 of the family's 1533-position model. The record is from RNAcentral.
UACGUAGGCAGCAAGCGUUGUUCGGAGUUACUGGGCGUAAAGGGUGUGUAGGCGGUUGGUUAAGUUUGGUGUGAAAUCUCCCGGCUCAACUGGGAGGGUGCGCCGAAUACUGAGUGACUCGAGUGCGGGAGAGGUGAGUGGAAUUCCUGGUGUAGCGGUGAAAUGCGUAGAUAUCAGGAGGAACACCGGUGGUGUAGACGGCUCACUGGACCGUAACUGACGCUGAAACACGAAAGCGUGGGUAGCAAACAGG